Hevea brasiliensis (rubber tree) is the source of this 700-nucleotide long non-coding RNA. RefSeq lists it as uncharacterized. The transcript has 2 exons. Lineage: Eukaryota; Viridiplantae; Streptophyta; Magnoliopsida; Malpighiales; Euphorbiaceae. The record is from RefSeq and is a predicted model, not a curated record.
UUAAGCAAUAAGAAAUUAAAUAUUAAAAAAUAAUGUCAAUAAAAUUGUGCAUGAAGUCAAUUUAAAAAAAAAAAUUGAAAAUAGGAUUUUAAAGAAAUAGAAAUACAAAAAUGGGGAGCCAAGCCAAUCCGAUACACCACACCAGCUGUCAGUUCUAGCGUUGGGUGGCUCCCUCUCUCCUGUGUCUUCCGGCGUUUACGAGUUUCUCUCUGUUUCUGUGUAUCUGUCUGCUCUUUCCUGCUCUUUUAUGGGCUAAAUUGCACAAUUCUAAUGUUUGAGGUUACCCUAUAGCCCCAUACUAACUUAUCCUCGCGAGUCUAUAUGCCUCGUGGAUAUUUAAGAUUGGAUUUCAACUGGGUUUUCUUUGUUCCGGACUCUUCAAUACUUGUCUAGAUUCUCAGGUUCCCAACGCUUCAGAGGUUUCUAUGGCUUACUGCAGCUUGGGAGCUUCAAAUCUUAAACUUUCAAAGUUGGAUUUUGGCAGAGCAAGAGUUGGGAGUCUAAGGCAACGGAAUGACAUAAAGACAUGGAUAGAUAGGAGACAACUACAAUAUGCAGGUCUUACUGUUUUAUACGAAACAAUAUUGGAAACAGAGUGUAAGUGCUUUCAUUGAUACCUAUGGUAAUUGUACACUCUUCCAUGGCGUUGUUUCAAAGUUUUGGUGGACAAAAAUAAUAUUCGUAAUCAUAUCUUUCCAUA